Molecule: ribosomal RNA, 427 nt
Filed under: uncultured Comamonadaceae bacterium
Lineage: Bacteria; Pseudomonadati; Pseudomonadota; Betaproteobacteria; Burkholderiales; Comamonadaceae
Description: bacterial SSU rRNA
Rfam family: Bacterial small subunit ribosomal RNA
Source: RNAcentral
UGGGGAAUUUUGGACAAUGGGCGAAAGCCUGAUCCAGCAAUGCCGCGUGCAGGAAGAAGGCCUUCGGGUUGUAAACUGCUUUUGUACGGAACGAAAAGGCCCUUUCUAAUAAAGAGGGCCCAUGACGGUACCGUAAGAAUAAGCACCGGCUAACUACGUGCCAGCAGCCGCGGUAAUACGUAGGGUGCGAGCGUUAAUCGGAAUUACUGGGCGUAAAGCGUGCGCAGGCGGUGAUGUAAGACAGUUGUGAAAUCCCCGGGCUCAACCUGGGAAUUGCAUCUGUGACUGCAUCGCUAGAGUACGGUAGAGGGGGAUGGAAUUCCGCGUGUAGCAGUGAAAUGCGUAGAUAUGCGGAGGAACACCGAUGGCGAAGGCAAUCCCCUGGACCUGUACUGACGCUCAUGCACGAAAGCGUGGGGAGCAAACA